UACGGAGGGUGCAAGCGUUAAUCGGAAUUACUGGGCGUAAAGCGUGCGUAGGCGGUUCGUUAAGUCUGUUGCGAAAGCCCCGGGCUCAACCUGGGAAUGGCAAUGGAUACUGGCGAGCUAGAGUGUGUCAGAGGAUGGUGGAAUUCCCGGUGUAGCGGUGAAAUGCGUAGAGAUCCGGAAGAACACCGGUGGCGAAGGCGGUCUGCUGGGCCAAGACUGACGCUGAGGCGCGACAGCGUGGGGAGCAAACAGG
This 253-nucleotide ribosomal RNA is filed under the name uncultured bacterium. RNAcentral's name for it is "partial 16S ribosomal RNA". It matches the Rfam family "Bacterial small subunit ribosomal RNA", at positions 524 to 776 of the family's 1533-position model. The record is from RNAcentral.